AUUGAACGCUGGCGGCAUGCUUUACACAUGCCAGUCGAACGGCAGCGGGGAGGAGCUUGCUUCUCUGCCGGCGAGUGGCGAACGGGUGAGUAAUACAUCGGAACGUGUCGAGAAGAGGGGGAUAACCACCCGAAAGGGUGGCUAAUACCGCAUAAAUUCUGAGGAAGAAAGCUGGGGACCUAGGAAUAGGCCUAGCGCUUUUUGAGCGGCCGAUGUCGGAUUAGCUAGUUGGUGAGGUAAAGGCUCACCAAGGCGAAGAUCUGUAGCGGGUCUGAGAGGAUGAUCCGCCACACUGGGACUGAGACACGGCCCAGACUCCUACGGGGGGCAGCAGUGGGGAAUUUUGGACAAUGGGGGCAACCCUGAUCCAGCCAUGCCGCGUGUAUGAAGAAGGCCUUAGGGUUGUAAAGUACUUUUGUUAGGGAAGAAAAGUCAGCUGUGAAUAAUGGCUGAUACUGACGGUACCUAAAGAAUAAGCACCGGCUAACUACGUG
RNAcentral lists this ribosomal RNA (494 nucleotides) under uncultured bacterium. RNAcentral's name for it is "partial 16S ribosomal RNA". It matches the Rfam family "Bacterial small subunit ribosomal RNA", at positions 30 to 507 of the family's 1533-position model. The record is from RNAcentral.